Molecule: long non-coding RNA, 209 nt
Filed under: Elaeis guineensis (African oil palm)
Lineage: Eukaryota; Viridiplantae; Streptophyta; Magnoliopsida; Arecales; Arecaceae
Description: long non-coding RNA (EGUI_LNC022221)
Source: RNAcentral
GUGCCGAAAUGAUUGUGAGUUGACUUGACGAAAGUCUUUGAACAUUGACAAACCUCUGACAUUGGUCACACUUCUGCACCAGAUUGGCAGCACCCUUCUGUAUGGUUGACUAAUAAUAUCUUUGCCGUGGUAUCUUGUAAGACAGCAACUUGCCCCCCAAGUGAUUGUCGCAAAUGCUCUCGUGCAUCUUCCAAAGAACGUAGUCAGCU